ACUGGUUUUAAUCGUUUUGGCCGAUUUGAUCAGUUUAAAUGUUUUUUCACCCAUUUAGCCGAAAAUAUCGAAUUAAGUCAAUUGAUCACUGGUUUAACCGUUUUGAGUGAAUUAAUAAAAAAAAAGCCAAUCUGACCGAACAGCACCAGUUUGAAUUUCGAAGACAGGAUUAAUUUUUUUGUAUAGCUUCACAAAAACUGUUUACACUUAUGAACACCUACCUACAACUUACAAGUAAAAAUAUAAAGAAGAUGAAGCUCGAGUGUUUGACUUACGUGGCACCUAACGCAAUAUAAAUGCGAUGCAUUUCAAAGCUGCACAUUUCUAUUUGUUGUGAUGUAAUCUAAGAUUUGUCUAGAAAAUCACGUGCCGUUCUCUCGUCUAGCUUUAGAAACCGUGAGAAGGUAGGUAA
Cinara cedri is the source of this 412-nucleotide non-coding RNA. The record is from the annotation of a GenBank genome assembly. Lineage: Eukaryota; Metazoa; Arthropoda; Insecta; Hemiptera; Aphididae.